Molecule: RNA transcript, 2578 nt
Organism: Mangifera indica (mango)
Lineage: Eukaryota; Viridiplantae; Streptophyta; Magnoliopsida; Sapindales; Anacardiaceae
Gene name: GMP synthase [glutamine-hydrolyzing]
Exons: 7
Source: RefSeq, a predicted model, not a curated record
CUAAUCCACCCAAAGCCCUCCAUAGCCACAACCCACAAACAAUUAAGAAAAACCCUGUCACUACACCUACAUAGUACGUACAACCCACCAAAGAAAAUGGAGAAAACGGAGCUGGUUUUGAUUCUCGACUUCGGUUCUCAAUACACCCACCUUAUAACGAGGCGAAUUCGUUCUCUCUCCGUCUUUUCUCUAUGCAUCUCCGGCACUUCUUCUCUCGAAACCAUUGCUUCGCACAAUCCACGUGUUGUUAUUUUAUCCGGGGGGCCCCACUCAGUCCACGCCCCCGAAUCGCCCUCUUUUCCCGCAGGCUUCCUCGAGUGGGCGCAGUCCAAUGGUAUCUACGUGCUCGGUGUCUGUUACGGGCUCCAGUUGAUGGUACAGAAACUUGGGGGUGUUGUCAGGGUUGGGGAGAAACAGGAGUAUGGGAGGAUGGAUAUUGUGGUGGAGGGUCGUUUGGGAAUAUUUGGGAAUAAGAAGGUGGGUGAACAGCAGGUCGUUUGGAUGAGUCACGGAGAUGAGGCGGCUUCGUUGCCUGAUGGGUUUGAGGUUGUGGCUAGGAGCCAGCAGGGUGCUAUUGCUGCUGUUGAGAAUAGAGAGAAGAGGCUUUUUGGGCUUCAAUAUCAUCCGGAGGUGACACACUCACCUGAAGGGAUGGAAACACUACGUUAUUUUCUAUUUGAUGUCUGUGGAGUUAGUGCUGGCUGGAAGAUGGAAAAUGUAUUGGAUGAGGAAAUUAGAAUAAUUAACGAAAAGGUGGGGCCUGAAGAACAUGUAAUUUGUGCUCUAUCUGGGGGUGUAGAUUCUACUGUUGCUGCUACUCUUGUUCAUAAGGCAAUUGGGGAUAGGCUUCACUGUGUUUUUGUUGACAAUGGUUUGUUAAGGUACAAAGAGAGAGAACGUGUUAUGGAAACCUUUGAAAAGGAUCUACAUCUACUGGUAACUUGUGUCGAUGCGACAGAUCAGUUUCUUAGUAAGCUAAAAGGUGUGGUAGAUCCUGAGAUGAAAAGGAAGAUAAUUGGAAAGGAAUUUAUCUGCAUCUUUGAUGCUUUUGCCCUUGAGUUGGAACAGAAACUAGGAAAGAAACCUGCUUAUUUGGUCCAGGGAACCUUGUAUCCAGAUGUAAUUGAAUCAUGCCCGCCACCUGGUACUGGAAGAACUCAUUCUCACACAAUCAAAAGUCAUCAUAAUGUUGGGGGCCUACCUAAGGACAUGAAGUUGAAGCUCAUUGAACCACUUAAGCUUUUAUUUAAAGAUGAGGUUCGCCAACUUGGGAAAAUCUUAAAUGUUCCUGAACCUUUUUUAAAGCGUCACCCAUUCCCUGGGCCUGGCCUUGCAGUACGAGUUCUAGGUGAUGUUACUGAUGGCAAUGCAUUAGAUAUCCUCCGCCUGGUGGAUGAAAUAUUCAUUCAAUCAAUCAAGGAUGCUGGGCUUUAUGAUUCAAUUUGGCAAGCUUUUGCAGUGUUUUUGCCCGUUAGAUCAGUUGGAGUUCAAGGUGAUCAAAGAACACAUUCGCAUGUUGUUGCCCUUAGAGCUGUUACAAGCCAAGAUGGAAUGACAGCAGAUUGGUAUUAUUUUGAACACAAAUUUCUAGAUGAUGUAGCAAGAAAAAUUUGUAACAAUGUUCGGGGUGUAAACCGAGUUGUUCAAGACAUCACAUCAAAGCCUCCGUCUACAAUUGAGUGGGAAUGAUUAUAUGUUGGUGGCCUUAUUGAUUAAUGGGAAGUAGCAGACUUUAUGGUCUAUAGAAGUAAGGUGAUGCAUUUACCUUCUUUCUGCAGAUAUAACAGUAAGUUGGCAAGAAGGAAUUGGAAUCAAGCAGGAUUUCAUGAUGCUCGAUGUCUGUGCCUGUCUUGAUAUUGCCUCCUUAUCAAAAGAUGACUUUUCAUCGGAGAUCUUCUUCUCAACAAUUCUUCAUUGGAGCUCUUCUUCUCGAAUUUUUCAUCCGAGCUCUUAUUUUCAGACAAUUCUUUUUUUCUUUCUCUAGUGACUCAUUGACCUCUUUAAUGUCACUGUUUACCAUUCAAGUUGGACAGUUAACUCAAGCUUACCAUUUUGGAUUUGAUUUUGCCAAUCUAAAUUCCAUUCAAGUUCAAAUUAAUCUUUAUUUAGGUUCCCCUCCGCCUCUUAAAGAAGCCUUGAAAGUAGUUAGUCCCUUAAGAAAGUUUUCCCUGACAUCAUAUAGAGAGCCUGCUCUGGGGUAAGACCUGCAGUAUCAAUAAGUCCCCGGGCACGAAGGCCAUAAUAAUAAAAGAAUGAGUUGGGAUCUUUCCUUGUGAAAAGACUUCCAUUAGCUGGAGUAUUGAAAGGAGGACACUAGUGGGAUUGUUAAUUUAAGUACCCAUUUUCUAAGGUCAAGAUGUGAUUGAUGAGCAAACAAAAUUUGUCCCUUGUUAAUAAUAGAGUAAACACAUUAAAAUAAAUGAGAAGUAAUGAAUACGAAAGCAUAAACACAUAUUUUGUUUGUAAGUGAUGGUGACAAAUAUACAGUAGAGUUGAAGUUCAACCUUUUUGCUUAUUGUCUGAGUUGUAUAAAUCUUAUUUAGUGGAUGAAUCCAUCUGCCUUUUUGUUAUCUUUUCA